This 497-nucleotide ribosomal RNA is filed under the name uncultured bacterium. RNAcentral describes it as "partial 16S ribosomal RNA". It matches the Rfam family "Bacterial small subunit ribosomal RNA", at positions 28 to 507 of the family's 1533-position model. The record is from RNAcentral.
GACGAACGCUGGCGGCGUGCCUAAUACAUGCAAGUUGAGCGAUGAAGCUUGGUGCUUGCACCAAUUUGAAGAGCAGCGAACGGGUGAGUAACGCGUGGGGAAUCUGCCUUUGAGCGGGGGACAACAUGUGGAAACGAAUGCUAAUACCGCAUAACAACUUUAAACAUAAGUUUUAAGUUUGAAAGAUGCAAUUGCAUCACUCAAAGAUGAUCCCGCGUUGUAUUAGCUAGUUGGUGAGGUAAAGGCUCACCAAGGCGAUGAUACAUAGCCGACCUGAGAGGGUGAUCGGCCACAUUGGGACUGAGACACGGCCCAAACUCCUACGGGAGGCAGCAGUAGGGAAUCUUCGGCAAUGGACGAAAGUCUGACCGAGCAACGCCGCGUGAGUGAAGAAGGUUUUCGGAUCGUAAAACUCUGUUGGUAGAGAAGAACGUUGGUGAGAGUGGAAAGCUCAUCAAGUGACGGUAACUACCCAGAAAGGGACGGCUAACUACGUG